Daucus carota subsp. sativus is the source of this 631-nucleotide long non-coding RNA. RefSeq lists it as uncharacterized. NCBI's taxonomy places the organism in Eukaryota, Viridiplantae, Streptophyta, Magnoliopsida, Apiales, Apiaceae. The record is from RefSeq and is a predicted model, not a curated record. The transcript is spliced from 4 exons.
AACACAAUAGCAACAACAGGCGGCAGCGUGAGAAAGAAAUUGGGGAAAACAGGGGUGGGUGCUAGGGUUUUGAGUCCUUAUCCAUUCAAUCCGAUUGAUUCACGCAGUCGACCAAGAUGAUUUAUCAAUGACGAUCAGAAGUAGUUGAAUUGCGUAGUCGUGUUGUGUUGAGCCAGAUGCUAGAUGCCAAGGCAAUCUAAAGUUUUCGAGUAGCGUGACUGUGAUGUCACUAGUUUUGUUGUCAGAGCUAGGGUUUAAGAUGAUUCACCUGUGUAAGCUGUGCGUAAGAUUGAUGCUAAGCGAGAUUGUCAGGUAGAUGUCUACGAGACUAAUUACGGCAAAUGAGAGAAGAUUUCAAAAGCAAGAACAUCCAUGAUGACAAAAUUGAUGAAAAGAAUUAUCAGACUAUGAAUAAAUAUGCGGACAUGGCAAGUAUAUUUAUAGUGCAAGUAAGAUUUAGCAAUUGAUAUCUAAAUUGAUUGUUGAUAUCAAAAUAAAUUCUAACUCUUUUACUAUUGUGUGUAAGAUUAUAGAUUUGAUAUUUUUUUUUUUGAAUUCUUAUAGAUUUGAUAUUUGAUUUGAUGAAGAUUUGAUAUUAUUUUAUAUUUGAUUUGAUCAAGAUUUGAUAUUA